UACGUAGGCAGCGAGCGUUGUUCGGAGUUACUGGGCGUAAAGAGUAUGUAGGCGGUUUUGUAAGUUCGGUGUGAAAUCUCCCGGCUCAACUGGGAGGGUGCGCCGAAAACUGCAAGGCUAGAGUGUGGGAGAGGAAAGCGGAAUUCCUGGUGUAGCGGUGAAAUGCGUAGAUAUCAGGAGGAACACCAGCGGUGUAGACGGCUUUCUGGACCAUUACUGACGCUGAGAUACGAAAGCGUGGGGAGCAAACAGG
This 253-nucleotide ribosomal RNA is filed under the name uncultured bacterium. Its description in RNAcentral is "partial 16S ribosomal RNA". It matches the Rfam family "Bacterial small subunit ribosomal RNA", at positions 524 to 776 of the family's 1533-position model. The record is from RNAcentral.